This 485-nucleotide ribosomal RNA is filed under the name uncultured bacterium. Its description in RNAcentral is "bacterial SSU rRNA". It matches the Rfam family "Bacterial small subunit ribosomal RNA", at positions 28 to 500 of the family's 1533-position model. The record is from RNAcentral.
GAUGAACGCUAGCGAUAGGCCUAACACAUGCAAGUCGAGGGGCAUCACAUGAAGUAGCAAUACGGAUGGUGGCGACCGGCGCACGGGUGAGUAACACGUAUGCAACCUGCCUUCAACAAGGGGGAUAACCCGUUGAAAGACGGACUAAUACCCUAUAACACAGGGGUCCCGCAUGGGAAUAUUUGUUAAAGGACAACCGGUUGAAGAUGGGCAUGCGUUCCAUUAGCUAGUUGGCGGGGUAACGGCCCACCAAGGCAACGAUGGAUAGGGGGAACUGAGAGGUUUAUCCCCCACACUGGUACUGAGACACGGACCAGACUCCUACGGGAGGCAGCAGUGAGGAAUAUUGGUCAAUGGACGCAAGUCUGAACCAGCCACGUCGCGUGAAGGAAGACGGCCCUACGGGUUGUAAACUUCUUUUAUACGGGAAUAAAGUGCCCCACGCGUGGGGUUUUGCAUGUACCGUAUGAAUAAGGAUCGGCUAA